UACGGGGGGGGCAAGCGUUGUUCGGAAUUACUGGGCGUAAAGGGCUCGUAGGCGGCCAACUAAGUCGGAUGUGAAAUCCCCAAGCUUAACUUGGGAACUGCAUCCGAUACUGGAUGGCUUGAAUCCGGGAGAGGGAUGCAGAACUCCAGGUGUAGCGGUGAAAUGCGUAGAUAUCUGGAGGAAUACCGGUGGCGAAGGCGGCAUCCUGGACCGAUAUUGACACUGAUGAGCGAAAGCUAGGGGAGCAAACGGG
Molecule: ribosomal RNA, 253 nt
Filed under: uncultured bacterium
Lineage: Bacteria
Description: partial 16S ribosomal RNA
Rfam family: Bacterial small subunit ribosomal RNA
Source: RNAcentral